RNAcentral lists this ribosomal RNA (624 nucleotides) under uncultured marine eukaryote. Its description in RNAcentral is "SSU rRNA". It matches the Rfam family "Eukaryotic small subunit ribosomal RNA", at positions 613 to 1244 of the family's 1831-position model. The record is from RNAcentral.
UUGCAGUUAAAAAGCUCGUAGUUGGAUUUCGGAGUGGGCCAGUUGGUCCGCCGCAAGGUGUGUUACUGACUGGUUUGCUCUUCUGCGCAAAGACUGCGUGUGCUCUUUGUUGAGUGUGCGUAGGAUUUACGUCGUUUACUUUGAAAAAAUUAGAGUGUUCAAAGCAGGCUAUUGCUUGAAUACAUGAGCAUGGAAUAAUGGAAUAGGACUUUGGUCCCAUUUUGUUGGUUUCUAGGACCGAAGUAAUGAUUAAGAGGGACAAUUGGGGGCAUCCGUAUUUCGUUGUCAGAGGUGAAAUUCUUGGAUUUGCGAAAGACGAACAACUGCGAAAGCACUUGCCAAGAGUGUUUUCAUUAAUCAAGAACGAAAGUUAGAGGAUCGAAGACGAUCAGAUACCGUCCUAGUUCUAACCAUAAACGAUGUCGACUAGGGAUCAGCGGGCGUUAUCGUACGACCCCGUUGGCACCUUACGGGAAACCAAAGUUUCUGGAUUCCGGGGGAAGUAUAGUCGCAAGGCCGAAACUUAAAGGAAUUGACGGAAGGGCACCACCAGGAGUGGAGCCUGUGGCUCAAUUUGACUCAACACGGGAAAACUUACCAGGUCCAGACAUAGUAAGGAUUGAC